This 2931-nucleotide ribosomal RNA is filed under the name Escherichia coli. RNAcentral describes it as "23S ribosomal RNA". It matches the Rfam family "Bacterial large subunit ribosomal RNA". The record is from RNAcentral. Lineage: Bacteria; Pseudomonadati; Pseudomonadota; Gammaproteobacteria; Enterobacterales; Enterobacteriaceae.
GGGUUGUGAGGUUAAGCGACUAAGCGUACACGGUGGAUGCCCUGGCAGUCAGAGGCGAUGAAGGACGUGCUAAUCUGCGAUAAGCGUCGGUAAGGUGAUAUGAACCGUUAUAACCGGCGAUUUCCGAAUGGGGAAACCCAGUGUGAUUCGUCACACUAUCAUUAACUGAAUCCAUAGGUUAAUGAGGCGAACCGGGGGAACUGAAACAUCUAAGUACCCCGAGGAAAAGAAAUCAACCGAGAUUCCCCCAGUAGCGGCGAGCGAACGGGGAGCAGCCCAGAGCCUGAAUCAGUGUGUGUGUUAGUGGAAGCGUCUGGAAAGGCGCGCGAUACAGGGUGACAGCCCCGUACACAAAAAUGCACAUGCUGUGAGCUCGAUGAGUAGGGCGGGACACGUGGUAUCCUGUCUGAAUAUGGGGGGACCAUCCUCCAAGGCUAAAUACUCCUGACUGACCGAUAGUGAACCAGUACCGUGAGGGAAAGGCGAAAAGAACCCCGGCGAGGGGAGUGAAAAAGAACCUGAAACCGUGUACGUACAAGCAGUGGGAGCACAGAGCAAUCUGUGUGACUGCGUACCUUUUGUAUAAUGGGUCAGCGACUUAUAUUCUGUAGCAAGGUUAACCGAAUAGGGGAGCCGAAGGGAAACCGAGUCUUAACUGGGCGUUAAGUUGCAGGGUAUAGACCCGAAACCCGGUGAUCUAGCCAUGGGCAGGUUGAAGGUUGGGUAACACUAACUGGAGGACCGAACCGACUAAUGUUGAAAAAUUAGCGGAUGACUUGUGGCUGGGGGUGAAAGGCCAAUCAAACCGGGAGAUAGCUGGUUCUCCCCGAAAGCUAUUUAGGUAGCGCCUCGUGAAUUCAUCUCCGGGGGUAGAGCACUGUUUCGGCAAGGGGGUCAUCCCGACUUACCAACCCGAUGCAAACUGCGAAUACCGGAGAAUGUUAUCACGGGAGACACACGGCGGGUGCUAACGUCCGUCGUGAAGAGGGAAACAACCCAGACCGCCAGCUAAGGUCCCAAAGUCAUGGUUAAGUGGGAAACGAUGUGGGAAGGCCCAGACAGCCAGGAUGUUGGCUUAGAAGCAGCCAUCAUUUAAAGAAAGCGUAAUAGCUCACUGGUCGAGUCGGCCUGCGCGGAAGAUGUAACGGGGCUAAACCAUGCACCGAAGCUGCGGCAGCGACACUAUGUGUUGUUGGGUAGGGGAGCGUUCUGUAAGCCUGUGAAGGUGUACUGUGAGGUAUGCUGGAGGUAUCAGAAGUGCGAAUGCUGACAUAAGUAACGAUAAAGCGGGUGAAAAGCCCGCUCGCCGGAAGACCAAGGGUUCCUGUCCAACGUUAAUCGGGGCAGGGUGAGUCGACCCCUAAGGCGAGGCCGAAAGGCGUAGUCGAUGGGAAACAGGUUAAUAUUCCUGUACUUGGUGUUACUGCGAAGGGGGGACGGAGAAGGCUAUGUUGGCCGGGCGACGGUUGUCCCGGUUUAAGCGUGUAGGCUGGUUUUCCAGGCAAAUCCGGAAAAUCAAGGCUGAGGCGUGAUGACGAGGCACUACGGUGCUGAAGCAACAAAUGCCCUGCUUCCAGGAAAAGCCUCUAAGCAUCAGGUAACAUCAAAUCGUACCCCAAACCGACACAGGUGGUCAGGUAGAGAAUACCAAGGCGCUUGAGAGAACUCGGGUGAAGGAACUAGGCAAAAUGGUGCCGUAACUUCGGGAGAAGGCACGCUGAUAUGUAGGUGAAGUCCCUCGCGGAUGGAGCUGAAAUCAGUCGAAGAUACCAGCUGGCUGCAACUGUUUAUUAAAAACACAGCACUGUGCAAACACGAAAGUGGACGUAUACGGUGUGACGCCUGCCCGGUGCCGGAAGGUUAAUUGAUGGGGUUAGCGCAAGCGAAGCUCUUGAUCGAAGCCCCGGUAAACGGCGGCCGUAACUAUAACGGUCCUAAGGUAGCGAAAUUCCUUGUCGGGUAAGUUCCGACCUGCACGAAUGGCGUAAUGAUGGCCAGGCUGUCUCCACCCGAGACUCAGUGAAAUUGAACUCGCUGUGAAGAUGCAGUGUACCCGCGGCAAGACGGAAAGACCCCGUGAACCUUUACUAUAGCUUGACACUGAACAUUGAGCCUUGAUGUGUAGGAUAGGUGGGAGGCUUUGAAGUGUGGACGCCAGUCUGCAUGGAGCCGACCUUGAAAUACCACCCUUUAAUGUUUGAUGUUCUAACGUUGACCCGUAAUCCGGGUUGCGGACAGUGUCUGGUGGGUAGUUUGACUGGGGCGGUCUCCUCCUAAAGAGUAACGGAGGAGCACGAAGGUUGGCUAAUCCUGGUCGGACAUCAGGAGGUUAGUGCAAUGGCAUAAGCCAGCUUGACUGCGAGCGUGACGGCGCGAGCAGGUGCGAAAGCAGGUCAUAGUGAUCCGGUGGUUCUGAAUGGAAGGGCCAUCGCUCAACGGAUAAAAGGUACUCCGGGGAUAACAGGCUGAUACCGCCCAAGAGUUCAUAUCGACGGCGGUGUUUGGCACCUCGAUGUCGGCUCAUCACAUCCUGGGGCUGAAGUAGGUCCCAAGGGUAUGGCUGUUCGCCAUUUAAAGUGGUACGCGAGCUGGGUUUAGAACGUCGUGAGACAGUUCGGUCCCUAUCUGCCGUGGGCGCUGGAGAACUGAGGGGGGCUGCUCCUAGUACGAGAGGACCGGAGUGGACGCAUCACUGGUGUUCGGGUUGUCAUGCCAAUGGCACUGCCCGGUAGCUAAAUGCGGAAGAGAUAAGUGCUGAAAGCAUCUAAGCACGAAACUUGCCCCGAGAUGAGUUCUCCCUGACUCCUUGAGAGUCCUGAAGGAACGUUGAAGACGACGACGUUGAUAGGCCGGGUGUGUAAGCGCAGCGAUGCGUUGAGCUAACCGGUACUAAUGAACCGUGAGGCUUAACCUUACAACGCCGAAGCUGUU